Molecule: ribosomal RNA, 782 nt
Filed under: uncultured bacterium
Lineage: Bacteria
Description: bacterial SSU rRNA
Rfam family: Bacterial small subunit ribosomal RNA
Source: RNAcentral
AGAGUUUGAUCAUGGCUCAGGAUGAACGCUAGCGGCAGUAACACAUGCAAGUCGAGGGGUAUAGGUUUUCGGACCUAGAGACCGGCGCACGGGUGCGUAACGCGUAUGCUCUACCUUUUACAGAGGGAUAGCCCAGAGAAAUUUGGAUUAAUACCUCAUAGUAUUACGACUCGGCAUCGAGAUGUAAUUAAAGUCACAACGGUAAAAGAUGAGCAUGCGUCCCAUUAGCUUGUUGGUAAGGUAACGGCUUACCAAGGCAACGAUGGGUAGGGGUCCUGAGAGGGAGAUCCCCCACACUGGUACUGAGACACGGACCAGACUCCUACGGGAGGCAGCAGUGAGGAAUAUUGGUCAAUGGGCGCAAGCCUGAACCAGCCAUGCCGCAUGCAGGAUGAAGCAUCUAUGGUGUGUAAACUGCUUUUGUACGAGAAGAAACACUCCUUCGUGAAGGAGCUUGACGGUAUCGUAAGAAUAAGGACCGGCUAACUCCGUGCCAGCAGCCGCGGUAAUACGGAGGGUCCAAGCGUUAUCCGGAAUCAUUGGGUUUAAAGGGUCCGUAGGCGGUUUUGUAAGUCAGUGGUGAAAGCCCAUCGCUCAACGGUGGAACGGCCAUUGAUACUGCAAGACUUGAAUUAUUGGGAAGCAACUAGAAUAUGUAGUGUAGCGGUGAAAUGCUUAGAUAUUACAUGGAAUACCAAUUGCGAAGGCAGGUUGCUACCAAUACAUUGACGCUGAUGGACGAAAGCGUGGGGAGCGAACAGGAUUAGAUACCCUAGUAGUCC